Molecule: ribosomal RNA, 216 nt
Filed under: uncultured bacterium
Lineage: Bacteria
Description: partial 16S ribosomal RNA
Rfam family: Bacterial small subunit ribosomal RNA
Source: RNAcentral
GCAAGUCGAAUGGGUUUAGACCCAUGGCAGACGAGGUAGGAACACGUAGGUACAAACCCCAAAGUCAGGGAUAAUCCGGCGAAAGUCGGGAUAAUACUUGAUAGUCUCUUCGGAGUAAAGAUUUAUCGCUUUGGGAUUGGCCUGCGUUCUAUCAGCUUGAUGGUAAGGUAACGGCUUACCAUGGCUAUGACGGAUAGGGGAGGUGAGAGCCUGACC